GGUUGAUCCUGCCAGUAGUCAUAUGCUUGUCUCAAAGAUUAAGCCAUGCAUGUCUAAGUAUAAACUGCUUAUACUGUGAAACUGCGAAUGGCUCAUUAAAUCAGUUAUAGUUUAUUUGAUGGUACCUUCUACUCGGAUACCCGUAGUAAUUCUAGAGCUAAUACGUGCGUCACUCCCCAACUUACGAAGGGGCGUAUAUAUUAGAUAAAAGGCCGACCGGACUUUGUCCGACCCGCGGUGAAUCAUGAUAUCUUCACGAAUCGCAUGGCCUUGUGCCGGCGAUGUUUCAUUC
This 292-nucleotide ribosomal RNA is filed under the name uncultured eukaryote. RNAcentral's name for it is "partial 18S ribosomal RNA". It matches the Rfam family "Eukaryotic small subunit ribosomal RNA", at positions 6 to 300 of the family's 1831-position model. The record is from RNAcentral.